This 300-nucleotide long non-coding RNA is filed under the name Mytilus galloprovincialis (Mediterranean mussel). The record is from RNAcentral. Lineage: Eukaryota; Metazoa; Mollusca; Bivalvia; Mytilida; Mytilidae.
UACGGCUAAGGUAAUCUAUUCCUGGGACAAGAAAAUCCUUAGUUUUUCGAAAAAUUCAAAGUUUUGUAUCAGGAAAUUUAUAAAAAUGAUCACAUAAUUGAUAUUCAUGUCAACACCGAAGUGCUGACUACUGGGCUGGUGAUACCCUCGGGGACGAAACGUCCACCAGCAGUGGCAUCGAUCCAGUGGUGUAAAUAGUUAUCAAAAGUACCAGGAUUAUAAUUUAGUACGCCAGACGCGCGUUUCGUCUACAUAAGACUCAUCAGUGACGCUCAUAUCAAAAUAGUUAUAAAGCCAAAC